This 253-nucleotide ribosomal RNA is filed under the name uncultured bacterium. RNAcentral describes it as "partial 16S ribosomal RNA". It matches the Rfam family "Bacterial small subunit ribosomal RNA", at positions 524 to 776 of the family's 1533-position model. The record is from RNAcentral.
UACGGAGGGUGCGAGCGUUAAUCGGAAUUACUGGGCGUAAAGCGCGCGCAGGCGGUUCGGUAAGUCAGAUGUGAAAUCCCCGGGCUUAACCUGGGAAUUGCAUUUGAUACUGCCGAACUAGAGUAUGGGAGAGGGAAGUGGAAUCUCCGGUGUAGCGGUGAAAUGCGUAGAGAUCGGAGGGAACACCAGUGGCGAAGGCGGCUUCCUGGCCCAAUACUGACGCUCAGGCGCGAAAGCGUGGGGAGCAAACAGG